UUGAAAGCUGGCGUCUUCGGCGUCCGCAUUGUAAUCUCAAGAAGUGUUUUCCGCUUCGGACCAAGCCUAAGUCCCCUGGAAAGGGGCAUCAUAGAGGGUGAUAAUCCCGUACAUGGCUUGGAGCGCCCGAGGCUUUGUGAUACGCUUUCUAAGAGUCGAGUUGUUUGGGAAUGCAGCUCAAAAUGGGUGGUAAAUGCCAUCUAAGGCUAAAUAUUGGGGAGAGACCGAUAGCGAACAAGUACAGUGAUGGAAAGAUGAAAAGAACUUUGAAAAGAGAGUUAAACAGUACGUGAAAUUGCCAAAAGGGAAGGGUAGGAGGUCAGAGAUGCGGCCUGGGAUUCAGCCUUGCUUUUGCUUGGUGUUUUUCCCAGAUUGCAGGCCAACGUCGGUUUUGGGCACUGGAGAAGGGUAGGAGGAACGUGGCACCCCUCGGGGUGUGUUAUAGCCUCCUACUGGAUACAGCGACCGAGACCGAGGACAGCAGCGUACUCGCAAGAGCGGGCCUUCGGGCACCUUUACGCUUAGGGCGUUGGCAUAAUGGCCCUCUACCACCCGUCU
Molecule: ribosomal RNA, 558 nt
Filed under: uncultured Pseudozyma
Lineage: Eukaryota; Fungi; Basidiomycota; Ustilaginomycetes; Ustilaginales; Ustilaginaceae
Description: LSU rRNA
Rfam family: Eukaryotic large subunit ribosomal RNA
Source: RNAcentral